Molecule: unclassified non-coding RNA, 316 nt
Filed under: Zea mays
Lineage: Eukaryota; Viridiplantae; Streptophyta; Magnoliopsida; Poales; Poaceae
Description: misc RNA Zm00001eb066450
Source: RNAcentral
ACCUCCCUCUGUCUGGCUCUCUGCCCAUGGAUGGGCGAGGCUCAUGGCGGACGAAGGCAGCCAGGCUGCCAGUGCCAGGCCCCUCCUUUUCCGUGCGCCUGCCGGCACCCGCGCGCUCGCCAUUGAUUCGGCCUCGUUUGCGCUAGCUAGGACUCUAGGAGUAGUUCCCUUUCCUCCCUUUCUUUCUUGUGCUGCUUUUUUUUAUCCUCGUAAAAAAAAUGAAACCGUAGAGGUAGAGGACAGAGACGAAGCAACUGCAGUGCCGGCCGGGCCAGCGCUGCGUGGAUCUAUCCACCGAUCGCAUCACAUACAUACU